CGGUUGAUCCUGCCGGAGGUCACUGCUAUCGGGGUUCGAUUAAGCCAUGCGAGUCGAGAGGGUUCAGACCCUCGGCGGACUGCUCAGUAACACGUGGAUAAUCUGCCCUAUGGUGGAGGAUAACCCCGGGAAACUGGGGAUAAUACUCCAUAAGUCAGGAGUACUGGAAUGUCUCCUAACUGAAAGUUGCGGCGCCAUAGGAUGAAUCUGCGGCCGAUUAGGUAGUUGUUGGGGUAACGGCCCAACAAGCCCGUAAUCGGUACGGGUUGUGGGAGCAAGAGCCCGGAGAUGGAAUCUGAGACACGAUUCCAGGCCCUACGGGGCGCAGCAGGCGCGAAAACUUUACAAUGCAGGAAACUGUGAUAAGGGAACCCCGAGUGCCCGUACACGCGGGCUGUCCCGGUGUUUAAAACACAUCGGAAGAAAGGGCCGGGCAAGACCGGUGCCAGCCGCCGCGGUAAUACCGGCGGCUCGAGUGGUGACCACUUUUAUUGGGCUUAAAGCGUUCGUAGCUUGAUUUUUAAGUCUCUUGGGAAAUCUCACGGCUUAACUGUGAGGCGUCUAAGAGAUACUGGGAAUCUAGGGACCGGGAGAGGUAAGAGGUACUUCAGGGGUAGAAGUGAAAUUCUGUAAUCCUUGAGGGACCACCGAUGGCGAAGGCAUCUUACCAGAACGGCUUCGACAGUGAGGAACGAAAGCUGGGGGAGCGAACGGGAUUAGAUACCCCGGUAGUCCCAGCCGUAAACUAUGCGCGUUAGGUGUGCCUGUAACUACGAGUUACCGGGGUGCCGAAGUGAAAACGUGAAACGUGCCGCCUGGGAAGUACGGUCGCAAGGCUGAAACUUAAAGGAAUUGGCGGGGGAGCACCACAACGGGUGGAGCCUGCGGUUUAAUUGGACUCAACGCCGGGCAGCUCACCGGAUAGGACAGCGGAAUGAUAGCCGGGCUGAAGACCUUGCUUGACCAGCUGAGAGGAGGUGCAUGGCCGUCGUCAGUUCGUACUGUGAAGCAUCCUGUUUAGUCAGGCAACGAGCGAGACCCCC
Molecule: ribosomal RNA, 1043 nt
Filed under: uncultured archaeon
Lineage: Archaea
Description: bacterial SSU rRNA
Rfam family: Archaeal small subunit ribosomal RNA
Source: RNAcentral